This 899-nucleotide ribosomal RNA is filed under the name Lactococcus lactis subsp. lactis. RNAcentral describes it as "bacterial SSU rRNA". It matches the Rfam family "Bacterial small subunit ribosomal RNA", at positions 41 to 920 of the family's 1533-position model. Lineage: Bacteria; Bacillati; Bacillota; Bacilli; Lactobacillales; Streptococcaceae. The record is from RNAcentral.
AGCGGGCAGCUAUACAUGCAGUUGAGCGCUGAAGGUUGGUACUUGUACCGACUGGAUGAGCAGCGAACGGGUGAGUAACGCGUGGGGAAUCUGCCUUUGAGCGGGGGACAACAUUUGGAAACGAAUGCUAAUACCGCAUAAAAACUUUAAACACAAGUUUUAAGUUUGAAAGAUGCAAUUGCAUCACUCAAAGAUGAUCCCGCGUUGUAUUAGCUAGUUGGUGAGGUAAAGGCUCACCAAGGCGAUGAUACAUAGCCGACCUGAGAGGGUGAUCGGCCACAUUGGGACUGAGACACGGCCCAAACUCCUACGGGAGGCAGCAGUAGGGAAUCUUCGGCAAUGGACGAAAGUCUGACCGAGCAACGCCGCGUGAGUGAAGAAGGUUUUCGGAUCGUAAAACUCUGUUGGUAGAGAAGAACGUUGGUGAGAGUGGAAAGCUCAUCAAGUGACGGUAACUACCCAGAAAGGGACGGCUAACUACGUGCCAGCAGCCGCGGUAAUACGUAGGUCCCGAGCGUUGUCCGGAUUUAUUGGGCGUAAAGCGAGCGCAGGUGGUUUAUUAAGUCUGGUGUAAAAGGCAGUGGCUCAACCAUUGUAUGCAUUGGAAACUGGUAGACUUGAGUGCAGGAGAGGAGAGUGGAAUUCCAUGUGUAGCGGUGAAAUGCGUAGAUAUAUGGAGGAACACCGGUGGCGAAAGCGGCUCUCUGGCCUGUAACUGACACUGAGGCUCGAAAGCGUGGGGAGCAAACAGGAUUAGAUACCCUGGUAGUCCACGCCGUAAACGAUGAGUGCUAGAUGUAGGGAGCUAUAAGUUCUCUGUAUCGCAGCUAACGCAAUAAGCACUCCGCCUGGGGAGUACGACCGCAAGGUUGAAACUCAAGAGAAAUAUUGACGGAAAA